CCUACGGGUGGCAGCAGUGAGGAAUAUUGGUCAAUGGGCGUAAGCCUGAACCAGCCAAGUCGCGUGAGGGAUGAAGGUUCUCUGGAUCGUAAACCUCUUUUAUAAGGGAAUAAAGUGCGGGACGUGUCCCGUUUUGUAUGUACCUUAUGAAUAAGGAUCGGCUAACUCCGGGCCAGCAGCCGCGGUAAUACGGAGAAUCCGAGCGUUAUCCGGUCUUAUUGGGUUUAAAGGGUGCGUAGGCGGCCGUUUAAGUCAGCGGUGAAAGUCUGUGGCUCAACCAUAGAAUUGCCGUUGAUACUGGGGGGCUUGAGUAUGUGUGAGGCAGGCGGAAUGCGUGGUGUAGCGGUGAAAUGCUUAGAUAUCACGCAGAACCCCGAUUGCGAAGGCAGCCUGCCAAGCUAUGACUGACGCUGAUGCACGAAAGCGUGGGGAGCAAACAGGAUUAGAUACCCCAGUAGUC
This 460-nucleotide ribosomal RNA is filed under the name uncultured bacterium. Its description in RNAcentral is "partial 16S ribosomal RNA". It matches the Rfam family "Bacterial small subunit ribosomal RNA", at positions 338 to 795 of the family's 1533-position model. The record is from RNAcentral.